CAAGUCGAACGAGGCUGAGGGGGCAACUCCUCAGUUUAGUGGCGGACGGGUGAGUAACACGUGGGUAACCUGCCCGGAAGUGGGGAAUACCUCGGGGAAACUCGAGCUAAUACCGCAUAACAUCUUCGGGACGAAAGUCCUGACGAUCAAAGCGGGGUCGCAAGAUCUCGCGCUACCGGAUGAGCCCGCGCCCGAUUAGCUAGUUGGUGGGGUAACGGCUCACCAAGGUUUCGAUCGGUAACCGGCCUGAGAGGGCGAUCGGUCACACCGGAACUGAGACACGGUCCGGACUCCUACGGGAGGCAGCAGUGGGGAAUCUUGCGCAAUGGGCGAAAGCCUGACGCAGCAACGCCGCGUGGAGGAUGAAGGCCCUUGGGUUGUAAACUCCUGUCGGCUGGGAAGAAAUCUUCCGGGGCUAAUACCUCCGGAAGUUGACUGUACCAGCAAAGGAAGCCCCGGCUAACUCUGUGCCAGCAGCCGCGGUAAUACAGAGGGGGCCAGCGUUAUUCGGAAUUAUUGGGCGUAAAGGGCGCGUAGGCGGCCAUGCGUGUCUUCCGUGAAAUCCCUCGGCUUAACUGAGGACGUGCGGAAGAAACUGCAAGGCUUCGAGUCCGGGAGAGGGGGGGUGGAAUUCCCAGUGUAGCGGUGAAAUGCGUAGAUAUUGGGAGGAACACCGGUGGCGAAGGCGGCCCCCUGGACCGGAACUGACGCUGAGGCGCGAAAGCGUGGGUAGCAAACGGGAUUAGAUACCCCGGUAGUCCACGCCGUAAACGAUGGGCACUUGGUGUCGCGGGUAUCGACCCCUGCGGUGCCGAAGCUAACGCAUUAAGUGCCCCGCCUGGGGAGUACGGUCGCAAGGCUGAACUCAAAGGAAUUGACGGGGGCCCCACAAGCGGUGGAA
Molecule: ribosomal RNA, 901 nt
Filed under: uncultured Pseudomonadota bacterium
Lineage: Bacteria; Pseudomonadati; Pseudomonadota
Description: bacterial SSU rRNA
Rfam family: Bacterial small subunit ribosomal RNA
Source: RNAcentral